Molecule: non-coding RNA, 4837 nt
Organism: Caretta caretta (loggerhead turtle)
Lineage: Eukaryota; Metazoa; Chordata; Testudines; Cheloniidae
Source: RefSeq, a predicted model, not a curated record
GGGCAACGGCGAGAAUAGAGCUGUGGGGUCACCCCUCCAGCGGAUGCCCGAGCAGCGGGGGCCUUGACUGCAAGGGGGUCCGGUGGCUUUACUGGCCACCGGUGGUUGCUGCCUGCGGAAAGAGAGAAGACGGGAAGGAUACAGGACCUCGGCACAGACAACAGAAGAUCAAGUGAUCUCGGGGGGGAAGUAUGCAUACGUUUCUCGUGAAAUCUGGCUAAGAACAAGGAACAAAGCUGAGAAAUUCUCACCAUAUCCCAUUAAUUGAUUGCAUUAGAUCUUUUGGCCACAGCACCACACUGGGGACCUCAUGUUCACCUGACUAUCUACCAGGACCCCCAAAUCGUUUUCAGAGUCACUGUUCUGCAGGAUAGAGUCCCCCAUCCUGUCCGAGGAGUUUGAAACUAGUCUCCUAGGGUCGGACAAUAACAAUGAGUGCUUCAGUGAUUCUUCUGCCUCUUCCAAGAGUCAAGUGAGCGGGAGCUCAGAAUCUGGGGGCAAGCGGGCUAUUCGCAGACCACUGACUGGCUGGAAAUGAGAGGAAUAAAAACCAAUAUUAAUAAAUCCUCAGAGAAGAAAGGAGAAUCGCCUUCCAGGGGGAAGAGGAAAUCUGAGCGAGAGGAUGAUGAAGAUUAUGAAGAGUUUUCCAGAAAGAAGCAGAAAGUUCCUGCAAGGAAAAAGCAACGAGCUGGGGUGCAACAAAAUCCCAAAUCCAAAGGGCGUUAUAUGCGAAAAGAGCCACCAACAUAUGCAGCAGGCAGUGUGGAGGAACAGUGGUACCUGGAGAUCCUAAAUAAGGGCAGAGUUACCUGUCCAACAUGCAGAGCUGUUGUCAGGAAGACUGUAGAGGGGCUGAAGAAACAUAUGGCCAAUUGCAGACAGGAAAUGUUCACAUGUCAUCACUGUGGAAAACAGCUCAGGUCUUUGGCAGGAAUGAAAUACCACAUCAUGGCAGAUCACAACAACCUGCCAGUUGUGAAGGAGGGAGGUGAAUUAGAUGAGCAGUGUGAACGAGACCGCCUCCGGAAGGUGCUGAAGCGAAUGGGAAAGCUAAAGUGUAUGAGGGAGGGGUGUACAGGCAGCUUCACCAGCAUAAUGGGAUACCUGUACCAUAUGAAAAAGUGUGGGAAGGAGGCCUCUGAGUUGGAGAAAAUGGCCAUGAAAUGUCGUCACUGUGGGAAAGCAUACAAGUCAAAGGCAGGGCUUGUUUAUCACCUUAGGUCUGAGCAUGGGCCGGUCACUUUCCUCCAUGAAGAAGGGAGGCCUGAGAGUCUGAAGGAAAUGACCCUGGAGCCCAGUAAUGCAGGCAGAGUCCAGAGAAAAUCUGCUAAGGUGGCAGUCUAUUACCUUCACGAGCUAGCUAAUGAAGAGCUGGCCAAGGAGUGGCCUAAGAAGAAGGUUCUACAGGACCUCGUCCCAGAUGAUCGGAAGCUGAAAUACACCCGGCCUGGACUGCCCACAUUUAGUCAGGAUGUGUUGUGCAAGUGGAAAUCGGAGAUAAAGAUGUACCGAAGGGUCCACUGUCCAAACCAGACAGACAAAGCACCUACAAGAUCUUUAUCAAGCUUCUUAAAACUACAAUACCCACCUGGGGAAGUGAGGAAACAGAUUGACAGAGUGAGAUGCGUACUCCAAAGUCACCUACUACAGGACAGGCCCAACAAGGAAAAUAACAGAACACCACUGGCCUUCACGUACAGCCCCCAGCUAAAACCUCUCCAGCAUAUCAUCAACGAUCUACAACCUAUCCUAGAAAAUGAUCCCUCACUCCUGCAGACCUUGGGAGGCAGGCCAGUCCUCGCUUACAGACAGCCCCCUAACCUGAAGCAAAUACUCACCAGCAACUAUACACCACACCACAGAAACACUAACCCAGGAACCAAUCCCUGUAACAAACCCUGAUGCCUUCUCUGUCCCCAUAUCUACUCUAGUGACACCAUCAGAGGAUCCAACCACAUCAGCCAGAUCAUCAGGGGCUCGUUCACCUGCACAUCUACCAAUGUGAUAUAUACCAUCAUGUGCCAGCAUUGACCCUCUGCCAUGUACACUGGCCAAACUGGACAGUCUACACAAAAGAAUAAAUGGACACACAUCAGACAUCAGGAAUGGUAACAUACAAAAGCCAGUAGGAGAACACCUCAAGCUCCCUGGACAUUCAAUAACAGAUUUAAAAGUAGCCACCCUUCAACAAAAAAACUUCAAAAACAGACUUCAAAGAGAAACUGCAGAGCUACAAUUCAUUUACAAACUUAACACCAUUAAUUUGGUCUUGAACAGGGACUGGGAGUGGCUGGCUCACUACAAAAGCAAUAUUCCCUCUCUUGGUAUGGACACCUCCUCAUCAAUUAUGGGGAGUAGACCACAUCCACCCUGACUGAAUUGGCCUUGCCAACACUGGUUCUCCGCUUGUAAGGUACUCCCUUCUCUUCAUGUGCCAGUAUAUUUAUGCCUGUAUCUGUAAUUGUCACUCCAUGCAUCUGAAGAAGUGGGUUUUUUUACCCACAAAAGCUUAUGUCCAAAUCUGUUAGUCUUUAAGGUGCCACCAGACUCCCCAUUCCCAAAAGGCUCCCUAGUUUCCAAUAAAUCUAAACCCCUCCCCCCUACACCAUCCUCUUAUCCACGCAUUGAGACCCUGCAGUUCUGCCUGUCUAACUGGCCCUGUGCGAGGAACUGGAAGCAUCUCAGAGAAUGGCUCCCAAGGAGGUCCUGGACUUCAAUCUGUUACCUAGCAGCCUAAAUUUGGCCUCCAGGAGGUCUCUCCUAUCUUCCCUAUGUCAUUGGUACCUUCACGUACCACGACCACCGGCUCCUCCCUAGCACUACACAAAAGUCUGUCUAGAUGUCUAGAGAGAUCUAUCUACAACCUUCACACCAGGCAGGCAAGUCACCAUGCGGUUCUCCCGGUCAUCACAAACCCAGCUAUCUGUAUUUCUAAUGAUCAAAUCCCCCAUUACUAAUACCUGUCUCUUCCUAAUAACUGGAGUUCCCUCCCCCGGAGAGGUCUCCUCAGUGCGAGAGGAUACCACAUCAUCAUCUGGAAGGAGGGUCCCAACUAUGGGAUUGUUUCCCUCUGGUCCAGUUGGAUGUUUUCCUUCCCUGAGACUUUCAUCCUCCUCAACAGCACAGAGGCUGUCAAACUUGGGGUGGGACCAUUCUACUGUGUCCCAGAAAGUCUCCUCUGUGUCUCCCUUUAGCUCCUCCGGUUCAGCCACUCUGCUCCCUGAAGCCUGUACACAGUCUCUGAGGGCCAGGAGCUCCUUGCACCGAAUGCAUGCAUAUGACACCUGCCCAUAGGGUAGGUAAUCAUACAUGCUGCAUUGUGUGCAAUAAACUGGGUAGCCCCCACUCUGCUGCUGGACUUCUGCCUGUGUAACACACGCCUCUUGGGUGUGGUGCUCCGUCCCAUCUAGUGGCACUGAGCCCUGGUCUACACUAGGACUUUAGGUCGAAUUUAGCAGCGUUAAAUCGAUUUAAACCUGCACCCGUCCACACAAUGAAGCCCUUUAUUUCGACUUAAAGGGCUCUUAAAAUCGAUUUCCUUACUCCACCCCUGACAAGUGGAUUAGCGCUUAAAUCGACGUUGCCGGCUCGAAUUUGGGGUACUGUGGACACAAUUCGAUGGUAUUGGCCUCCGGGAGCUAUCCCAGAGUGCUCCAUUCUGACCGCUCUGGACAGCGCUCUCAACUCAGAUGCACUGGCCAGGUAGACAGGAAAAGAACCGCUAACUUUUGAAUCUCAUUUCCUGUUUGGCCAGUGUGGCAAGCUGCAGGUGACCAUGCAGAGCUCAUCAGCACAGGUGACCAUGAUGGAGUCCCAGAAUCGCAAAAGAGCUCCAGCAUGGACCGAACGGGAGGUACGGGAUCUGAUCGCUGUUUGGGGAGAGGAAUCCGUGCUAUCAGAACUCCGUUCCAGUUUUCGAAAUGCCAAAACCUUUCUGAAAAUCUCCCAGGGCAUGAAGGACAGAGGCCAUAACAGGGACCCGAAGCAGUGCCGCGUGAAACUGAAGGAGCUGAGGCAAGCCUACCAGAAAACCAGAGAGGCGAACAGCCGCUCUGGGUCAGAGCCCCAAACAUGCCGCUUCUAUGAUGAGCUGCAUGCCAUUUUAGGGGGUUCAGCCACCACUACCCCAGCCAUGUUGUUUGACUCCUUCAAUGGAGAUGGAGGCAAUACGGAAGUAGGUUUUGGGGACGAAGAAGAUGAUGAUGAGGAGGUUGUAGAUAGCUCACAGCAAGCAAGCGGAGAAACCGGUUUUCCCGACAGCCAGGAACUGUUUCUCACCCUAGACCUGGAGCCAGUACCCCCCGAACCCACCCAAGGCUGCCUCCUGGACUCAGCAGGCGGAGAAACAGGACCUCUGCUGCAUGUGUUUCAAUGAUCACAGGAUCUUCUCCUUCCCAGAGGCUAGUGAAGCUUAGAAAGAAAAAAAACCGCACUCACGAUGAAAUGUUCUCCGAGCUCAUGCUGUCCUCCCACACUGACAGAGCACAGACGAAUGCGUGGAGGCAAAUAAUGUCAGAGUGCAGGAAAGCACAAAAUGACCAGGAGGAGAGGUGGAGGGCUGAAGAGAGUAAGUGGCGGGCUGAAGAGAGUAAGUGGUGGGCUGAAGACAGGGCUGAAGCUCAAAGGUGGCGGCAGCGUGAUGAGAGGAGGCAGGAUUCAAUGCUGAGGCUGCUGCAGGACCAAACCAGUAUGCUCCAGUGUAUGGUUGAGCUGCAGCAAAGGCAGCUGGAGCACAGACUGCCACUGCAGCCCCUCUGUAACCAACCGCCCUCCUCCCCAAGUUCCAUAGCCUCCACACCCAGACGCCCAAGAACGCGGUGGGGGGGCCUCCGGCCAA